RNAcentral lists this ribosomal RNA (420 nucleotides) under uncultured bacterium. RNAcentral's name for it is "bacterial SSU rRNA". It matches the Rfam family "Bacterial small subunit ribosomal RNA", at positions 355 to 774 of the family's 1533-position model. The record is from RNAcentral.
UAAGGAAUAUUGCUCAAUGGGAGAAAUCCUGAAGCAGCAACGCCGCGUGGAGGAUGAAGGGUCUAUGACUUGUAAACUCCUGUAAAGAAGGAAAAAAUUCCCAUUUGAUGGGAGAUGAUGGUACUUCUGGAGUAAGCCCCGGCUAACUACGUGCCAGCAGCCGCGGUAAUACGUAGGGGGCAAGCGUUGUCCGGAUUUACUGGGUGUAAAGGGUGCUCAGGCGGAUUUGUAAGUCAGAGGUGAAAUCUUACAGCUUAACUGUGAAACUGCCUUUGAUACUGCAAGCAUAAAGUAUGGAAGAGAGUGAUGGAAUAUCUGGUGUAGCAGUGAAAAGCGUAGAUAUCAGAUAGAACACCAAUGGCGAAGGCAGUCACUUGGUCCAUUACUGACGCUAAAGCACGAAAGCGUGGGUAGCAAACA